Molecule: transfer RNA, 78 nt
Filed under: Streptomyces violaceochromogenes
Lineage: Bacteria; Bacillati; Actinomycetota; Actinomycetes; Kitasatosporales; Streptomycetaceae
Description: tRNA-Val
Source: RNAcentral
GACGUCGGAUGUCGUAGUGGCUGGUGGGGAGGAUGAGUUGACGGUUCGUCGCGGCUGUUCGAUUCGGUCCGGCGGUUC